AGCUGUAAUGGCUCAAUGGUGGAAUUGUACACCUUGGGAUUUCUGACUUUGGUUCAAUCCUCGCAGUCGGACGUAGGUUAGCAUGUCACGUUUCGGCGUGGCAAGGGGUACUCACCUUCCCGUGGGGUCCGCACUGCGCGUCGGCGACAACCGUCAUCCUUCUCUCGCUUCCAGUUGCCGAGGCCGUCAAUCUUGGCGGUCUCAGAGAGAGGGACUCGGGGUUAACGUGUCCCGGUUAUUAUC
RNAcentral lists this small RNA (243 nucleotides) under Zygosaccharomyces rouxii. Its description in RNAcentral is "signal recognition particle RNA". The record is from RNAcentral. Lineage: Eukaryota; Fungi; Ascomycota; Saccharomycetes; Saccharomycetales; Saccharomycetaceae.